This 301-nucleotide ribosomal RNA is filed under the name uncultured bacterium. Its description in RNAcentral is "partial 16S ribosomal RNA". It matches the Rfam family "Bacterial small subunit ribosomal RNA", at positions 509 to 807 of the family's 1533-position model. The record is from RNAcentral.
CAGCCGCCACGGGAACACGAGGGGGGCAAGCGUUGUUCGGAAUUAUUGGGCGUAAAGGGUGCGUAGGCGGCUUGACAAGUCCUGUGUGAAAUCUAUGGGCUCAACCCAUAGUCUGCACGGGAAACUGUCGGGCUUGAGAAUGGGAGAGGUGAGUGGAAUUUCCGGUGUAGCGGUGAAAUGCGUAGAUAUCGGAAGGAACACCUGUGGCGAAAGCGGCUCACUGGACCAUUUCUGACGCUGAUGCACGAAAGCUAGGGGAGCAAACAGGAUUAGAUACCCCGGUAGUCCCUGUCUCUUAUAC